This is a non-coding RNA of Acanthosepion pharaonis, 104 nucleotides long. The record is from the annotation of a GenBank genome assembly. Lineage: Eukaryota; Metazoa; Mollusca; Cephalopoda; Sepiida; Sepiidae.
GCUGAAAUGAAACACCAGUUCUAGUACGAUCACCGAAGUGAAGCAACGUCGCAUCCGUCCAGUACCUAGAUAGGUGACUGUUUAGGAAUAUCAUGUGCUGUAAG